GGGACCAGGAUGCGAGCGGCAGCAUGCCCGGCUCUUAACCGGCGACGUGAGGGUUCGAGCCCCUCUGGUCCCA
This 73-nucleotide transfer RNA is filed under the name Tautonia sociabilis. Its description in RNAcentral is "Isosphaeraceae bacterium GM2012 tRNA-Lys". It matches the Rfam family "tRNA". Rfam says of the family: Transfer RNA (tRNA) molecules are approximately 80 nucleotides in length. Their secondary structure includes four short double-helical elements and three loops (D, anti-codon, and T loops). RNAcentral also lists the same sequence under 1 other name. The record is from RNAcentral. Lineage: Bacteria; Pseudomonadati; Planctomycetota; Planctomycetia; Isosphaerales; Isosphaeraceae.